AACCGAACUAACCGAACAUUGUGUUUACGGCAAAAAAAAUAAUGAAAACAAAUUUAGUUCAAUCUUCUACUUACAACAGAAAAUAGAUUUAAGUUACACGCAAAAAUAAACACAUAAUCUUUUGUGACACAGACACACGUAAUGAGUAAAUAUCAUCUAACAUGCAAUGAAAACAUUAAAUUUUAAAGAUGCAACAAUGAACUUUGGUUCUUCGGGUUUUUUCGGUUAACCGAGGCAAGAGACCGAAUUAACCGAACAAACUUCGGUUCUUUGAGUUUGCUGACCGAAGUUUUAAACGGUUCUUCGGUUUCGGUCCAAUCGGC
This 323-nucleotide long non-coding RNA is filed under the name Brachypodium distachyon (stiff brome). RNAcentral's name for it is "long non-coding RNA (BDIS_LNC004236)". Lineage: Eukaryota; Viridiplantae; Streptophyta; Magnoliopsida; Poales; Poaceae. The record is from RNAcentral.